UGGGGAAUAUUGCACAAUGGAGGGAACUCUGAUGCAGCGACGCCGCGUGAACGAAGAAGGCUUUCGAGUCGUAAAGUUCUUUUAUAUGGGAAGAUAAUGACGGUACCAUAAGAAAAAGCCCCGGCUAACUACGUGCCAGCAGCCGCGGUAAUACGUAGGGGGCUAGCGUUGUCCGGAAUCACUAGGCGUAAAGGGUUCGCAGGCGGAAAUGCAAGUCAGGUGUAAAAGGCAGUAGCUUAACUACUGUAAGCAUUUGAAACUGCAUAUCUUGAGAAGAGUAGAGGUAAGUGGAAUUUUUAGUGUAGCGGUGAAAUGCGUAGAUAUUAAAAAGAAUACCGGUGGCGAAGGCGACUUACUGGGCUCAUUCUGACGCUGAGGAACGAAAGCGGGGGUAGCAAACAGG
Molecule: ribosomal RNA, 403 nt
Filed under: bacterium
Lineage: Bacteria
Description: partial 16S ribosomal RNA
Rfam family: Bacterial small subunit ribosomal RNA
Source: RNAcentral